Non-coding RNA from Myotis myotis, 1489 nucleotides. The record is from the annotation of a RefSeq genome assembly. NCBI's taxonomy places the organism in Eukaryota, Metazoa, Chordata, Mammalia, Chiroptera, Vespertilionidae.
UCUCUUUAAGACUCAACUCAGACACAAAGACUGAACUUUGGCUCAUGAUCCCAGUCCUUCCUUGAAGUAUGAGGCUGCUCACUGGAGUAACUGUGUUUCUGACCUUGGGGGCUGUGAUUGAUGCUAAGAUCACCCAGCCCAACUCCAUGGAUUAUGCUGAAGGAAAAGAUGUGAACCUGCCUUGUAACCACUCUACCAUCGGUGGAAGUGACUAUAUACAUUGGUAUCGGCAAAAUCCCAACCAAAGGCCACAGUAUAUAAUUCAUGGCUUACGAAACACCGUGACUAACAACAUGGCCUCUCUCAUCAUCACAGAAGACAGAAAAUCCAGCACCUUGAUCCUGCCCCGGGUUACCUUGAGAGACUCUGCUGUGUACUACUGUGCUGUGAGAGACACAGUGGGACAGAUGGGGCUGCACCUGUGCAAUAUCUCCCUGGCAAAAGAAGGUGGGGGAGGCAGCAGCUAUUCAGAGCAAAUCUAGAGCCAUCUAGCAGCGUCAGAGAGCAAUAUGAAAGGAGGAAAAUGAAGGGAAGGAAGCAGGAGAACAUUAAUAAGGAAAACAAGAGAGACAGGGUAAAGAGAGGACAAGGAAUAAACACUUAAUUUGUUGAUGUAGCUGAGAAGUAUGAGGAAACUAAGAAUUAUAAGGUUCAAGUAGCAAUAAAGUAAAGCGGUAUUAAGAAUUUGUUAUGGCUUCUCUGCAUGUCAAUAAAAUGUUGGUUUCAGUAUUUUAGCCUAAAAAAAAAUAUAAAGGAAAAGAAAAAUAAUUAUACUUGUCUCAAGGGUGCCUUUUAUUUGGAUGCAGAGAUAAGUCCAAGUUUGGAAAUGCAUGCUACUAUAGCUGUUCCGCUUAUCAGAAACAAAUUACUCUUUCUCUAAGAGAAAUCUGAAAUGUUAUUUUUGUUGUUGCUAGUCUAGAGCAUGUGUAUUUGUGAUAAAGAAGUUCUUUUGGAAAGAAACAACAAUUAAAUUAAUAUUAAUUUAUUUUUAAAUGUCUAGAAGUCCUGCAUCUAAAAAAGAAUUUUCAUAACAUUUUGAUAUUCCAUAAAAGAUUCAAGCAGAGCUAAAGUAAAAGCCUAGUUAUAUCUCCUUCAUUUCACUGCAGCUUCCACUGUCCUUCUCAGAGUUUAAGAUUAUUUAAAGUAUCAUGCCAGACUGAUUUCUUUCAAAUAAAUAAUUUCAUGCAACUACAUGCAUAUUUACACCCACAUACAACUUAUACACCCACAUACAACUUAUCAUUUAAAUUGGAUUUACUUGAGUUUUUUGCAACUUACCUUCUGUGUGUUUUUUUUAAAAUACUGCCCUAGAGAUUUUUCUACAGUAGAAAAAAAAAAGUGUAGAAGUCUAUUUCCUUCUUUUUUAUGGCUCUAUAGUACUUUGAAAAUUCCAUCAUUUAAUUAAUUACUUUCUUAUUUAUGGAUAUCUGUUUCUAUUUCUUUGCUGUCACAAAGAACUUUCUCAUACAUCUUUGUAUAUUAAUUUUUG